Manis pentadactyla (Chinese pangolin) is the source of this 400-nucleotide long non-coding RNA. RefSeq lists it as uncharacterized. The record is from RefSeq and is a predicted model, not a curated record. The transcript has 3 exons. NCBI's taxonomy places the organism in Eukaryota, Metazoa, Chordata, Mammalia, Pholidota, Manidae.
GGGAUCUGUCCGCGCCGCAGCAACCCCUCCAGCUUUCAGUCAGUCCCCGGCUCCGCCAGGAGGAAGGCAGGAGAGAAGAUUCUAUUCCUCUGGUUCCCGUCCACCACCAGCAGAUCCUGGUUUUGACCCCUUUUCUCUGAAUGAUGCCACUCUCCCAUCAGAGAGGAACAGCAAUGGCUCCAGGAAUCCCAUCUUCAUAGCAGCCCAAAUGGACACAGACACACGUGCAUGGAUAUCACAUGGGUGACAAUGAUGUGACGCAGCCAAGGGAGUGCGCGGAGCAGGGGCCAAGGCAGCAGCUUCCCCACCAGCCAGGUAAAUGCCCUGAUGUCAAGUCCCUAAGAAGCUGGGCUGUUGCCAGAAGCAUCACUAGGUGAGGUAAGGACUCAUGGAGUCACUG